This 240-nucleotide unclassified non-coding RNA is filed under the name soil metagenome. RNAcentral's name for it is "partial contains 5.8S ribosomal RNA, internal transcribed spacer 2, and large subunit ribosomal RNA". The record is from RNAcentral.
AACCAUAGAAACCUGCGGAGUACCUGCGGAAGGAUCAUUAUAGUAUAUGGAAUCUCCAUUCUAUAAACCCACUCUGCGUAUCUUGUAACUGUUGCUUCAUGGGACUUGGUUCCGCCACACCGGCUUCACGGCUGGUGAGCGCCCAUGGAAGGAGAAACAAAACUCUUCUUUGAAAUGUAGUCAGUCUGAACAAGUUUUUAUAAACGUUAAAACUUUCAACAACGGAUCUCAGAUCGGAAG